AGCAGCCGCGGUAAUUCCAGCUCCAAUAGCGUAUAUUAAAGUUGUUGCAGUUAAAAAGCUCGUAGUUGAAUUUCGGGGUUAGUAGGUUGGUCAUGCCUCUGGUAUGUACUGGUCUCACUGAUUCCUCCUCCCUGAUGAACCGUAAUGCCAUUAAUUUGGUGUUGCGGGGAUUUGGACUGUUACUUUGAAAAAAUUGAGUGUUUAAAGCAGGCUAACGCUUGAAUACAUUAGCAUGGAAUAAUGAAAUAGGACGUUUGAUUCUAUUUUGUUGGUUUCUAGGAUCGACGUAAUGAUUAAUAGGGAUAGUUGGGGCAUUAGUAUUCAAUUGUCAGAGGUGAAA
This 340-nucleotide ribosomal RNA is filed under the name uncultured Glomus. RNAcentral's name for it is "SSU rRNA". It matches the Rfam family "Eukaryotic small subunit ribosomal RNA", at positions 569 to 916 of the family's 1831-position model. The record is from RNAcentral. Lineage: Eukaryota; Fungi; Glomeromycota; Glomeromycetes; Glomerales; Glomeraceae.